ACCUGGAUGGCUUAGUCAGUGGAGCACGUGACUCUUGAUCACGGGGUUGUAGAUUCAAGUCCCACGUUGGGUG
RNAcentral lists this transfer RNA (73 nucleotides) under Felis catus (domestic cat). It matches the Rfam family "tRNA". Rfam says of the family: Transfer RNA (tRNA) molecules are approximately 80 nucleotides in length. Their secondary structure includes four short double-helical elements and three loops (D, anti-codon, and T loops). The record is from Rfam by way of RNAcentral. Lineage: Eukaryota; Metazoa; Chordata; Mammalia; Carnivora; Felidae.